RNAcentral lists this ribosomal RNA (1358 nucleotides) under uncultured bacterium. RNAcentral describes it as "bacterial SSU rRNA". It matches the Rfam family "Bacterial small subunit ribosomal RNA", at positions 28 to 1382 of the family's 1533-position model. The record is from RNAcentral.
GAUGAACGCCUAGCGACAGGCUUAACACAUGCAAGUCGAGGGGCAGCACAGGUAGCAAUACCGGGUGGCGACCGGCGCACGGGUGAGUAACGCGUAUGCAACUUACCUAUCAGAGGGGGAUAACCCGGCGAAAGUCGGACUAAUACCGCAUGAAGCAGGGGCCCCGCAUGGGGAUAUUUGCUAAAGAUUCAUCGCUGAUAGAUAGGCAUGCGUUCCAUUAGGCAGUUGGCGGGGUAACGGCCCACCAAACCGACGAUGGAUAGGGGUUCUGAGAGGAAGGUCCCCCACAUUGGUACUGAGACACGGACCAAACUCCUACGGGAGGCAGCAGUGAGGAAUAUUGGUCAAUGGGCGUAAGCCUGAACCAGCCAAGUCGCGUGAGGGAUGAAGGUUCUAUGGAUCGUAAACCUCUUUUAUAAGGGAAUAAAGUGCGGGACGUGUCCCGUUUUGUAUGUACCUUAUGAAUAAGGAUCGGCUAACUCCGUGCCAGCAGCCGCGGUAAUACGGAGGAUCCGAGCGUUAUCCGGAUUUAUUGGGUUUAAAGGGUGCGUAGGCGGCCUUUUAAGCCAGCGGUGAAAGUCUGUGGCUCAACCAUAGAAUUGCCGUUGAAACUGGGAGGCUUGAGUAUGUUUGAGGCAGGCGGAAUGCGUGGUGUAGCGGUGAAAUGCUUAGAUAUCACGCAGAACCCCGAUUGCGAAGGCAGCCUGCCAAGCCAUGACUGACGCUGAUGCACGAAAGCGUGGGGAUCAAACAGGAUUAGAUACCCUGGUAGUCCACGCAGUAAACGAUGAUCACUAGCUGUUUGCGAUACAUUGUAAGCGGCACAGCGAAAGCGUUAAGUGAUCCACCUGGGGAGUACGCCGGCAACGGUGAAACUCAAAGGAAUUGACGGGGGCCCGCACAAGCGGAGGAACAUGUGGUUUAAUUCGAUGAUACGCGAGGAACCUUACCCGGGUUUGAACGCAUUCGGACCGAGGUGGAAACACCUUUUCUAGCAAUAGCCGUUUGCGAGGUGCUGCAUGGUUGUCGUCAGCUCGUGCCGUGAGGUGUCGGCUUAAGUGCCAUAACGAGCGCAACCCUUGCCACUAGUUACUAACAGGUUAGGCUGAGGACUCUGGUGGGACUGCCAGCGUAAGCUGCGAGGAAGGCGGGGAUGACGUCAAAUCAGCACGGCCCUUACAUCCGGGGCGACACACGUGUUACAAUGGCGUGGACAAAGGGAGGCCACCUGGCGACAGGGAGCGAAUCCCCAAACCACGUCUCAGUUCGGAUCGGAGUCUGCGACCCGACUCCGUGAAGCUGGAUUCGCUAGUAAUCGCGCAUCAGCCAUGGCGCGGUGAAUACGUUUCCCGGGCUCU